Molecule: ribosomal RNA, 466 nt
Filed under: uncultured bacterium
Lineage: Bacteria
Description: partial 16S ribosomal RNA
Rfam family: Bacterial small subunit ribosomal RNA
Source: RNAcentral
ACGAACGCUGGCGGCGUGCUUAACACAUGCAAGUCGAACGGAAAGGCCCUGCUUUUGUGGGGUGCUCGAGUGGCGAACGGGUGAGUAACACGUGAGUAACCUGCCCUUGACUUUGGGAUAACUUCAGGAAACUGGGGCUAAUACCGGAUAGGAGCUCCUGCUGCAUGGUGGGGGUUGGAAAGUUUCGGCGGUUGGGGAUGGACUCGCGGCUUAUCAGCUUGUUGGUGGGGUAGUGGCUUACCAAGGCUUUGACGGGUAGCCGGCCUGAGAGGGUGACCGGCCACAUUGGGACUGGGAUACGGCCCGGGCCCCUCCGGGGGGCAGGGGUGGGGAAUUUUGCCAAAUGGGCGGAGCCCUGAUGCAGCACCGCCGCGUGGGGGAUGAGGGCUUUCGGGUUGUAAACCGCUUUCCCCUGGGACGAAGCGUGGGUGCGGGUAAUGGGUAAAAAACCACCGGCUACCUCGGU